RNAcentral lists this ribosomal RNA (497 nucleotides) under uncultured bacterium. RNAcentral's name for it is "partial 16S ribosomal RNA". It matches the Rfam family "Bacterial small subunit ribosomal RNA", at positions 28 to 507 of the family's 1533-position model. The record is from RNAcentral.
GAUGAACGCUGGCGGCGUGCCUAAUACAUGCAAGUCGAGCGAACAGACGAGGAGCUUGCUCCUCUGACGUUAGCGGCGGACGGGUGAGUAACACGUGGAUAACCUACCUAUAAGACUGGGAUAACUUCGGGAAACCGGAUCUAAUACCGGAUAAUAUAUUGAACCGCAUGGUUCAUUAGUGAAAGACGGUUUUGCUGUCACUUAUAGAUGGAUCCGCGCUGCUUUAGCUAGUUGGUAGGGUAACGGCUUACCAAGGCGACGAUGGGUAGCCGACCUGAGAGGGGGAUAGGCCACACUGGAACUGGAACACGGUCCAGACUCCUACGGGAGGCAGCAGUAGGGAAUCUUCGGCAAUGGGCGAAAGCCUGACGCAGCAAGGCCGCGUGAGUGAUGAAGGUCUUCGGAGCGUAAAGCUCUGUUAUUAGGGAAGAACAACUGUGUAAGUAGAUGUGCCCGUCUUGACGGUACCUAAUCAAAAAGCACCGGCUAACUACGUG